GGGGAAUAUUGCGCAAUGGGCGAAAGCCUGACGCAGCAACGCCGCGUGCGGGAUGAAGGCCUUCGGGUUGUAAACCGCUUUCAGCAGGGAAGAAGCGAAAGUGACGGUACCUGCAGAAGAAGCACCGGCUAACUACGUGCCAGCAGCCGCGGUAAUACGUAGGGUGCAAGCGUUGUCCGGAUUUAUUGGGCGUAAAGAGCUCGUAGGCGGUUUGUUACGUCGGAUGUGAAAUCCUGGAGCUUAACUCCGGGCCUGCAUUCGAUACGGGCAGACUCGAGUGUUGUAGGGGAGACUGGAACUCCUGGUGUAGCGGUGAAAUGCGCAGAUAUCAGGAAGAACACCGAUGGCGAAGGCAGGUCUCUGGGCAACUACUGACGCUGAGGAGCGAAAGCGUGGGGAGCAAAC
Molecule: ribosomal RNA, 405 nt
Filed under: uncultured bacterium
Lineage: Bacteria
Description: bacterial SSU rRNA
Rfam family: Bacterial small subunit ribosomal RNA
Source: RNAcentral